This 79-nucleotide transfer RNA is filed under the name Phellinotus piptadeniae. Its description in RNAcentral is "tRNA-Pro". It matches the Rfam family "tRNA". From Rfam's summary of the family: Transfer RNA (tRNA) molecules are approximately 80 nucleotides in length. Their secondary structure includes four short double-helical elements and three loops (D, anti-codon, and T loops). The record is from RNAcentral. Lineage: Eukaryota; Fungi; Basidiomycota; Agaricomycetes; Hymenochaetales; Hymenochaetaceae.
AUGUUUUUAGUGUAAUUGGUAACACGCUUAGUACAAUGGGGAGUAUUAAGUAAAGUAAGUUCGAAUCUUACAAAACAUA